This 460-nucleotide ribosomal RNA is filed under the name uncultured bacterium. Its description in RNAcentral is "partial 16S ribosomal RNA". It matches the Rfam family "Bacterial small subunit ribosomal RNA", at positions 338 to 795 of the family's 1533-position model. The record is from RNAcentral.
CCUACGGGUGGCAGCAGUGAGGAAUAUUGGUCAAUGGGCGCGAGCCUGAACCAGCCAAGUCGCGUGAGGGAGGACGGCCCUACGGGUUGUAAACCUCUUUUGCCGGGGAGCAACGGGCGCCACGUGUGGCGUCACUGAGAGUACCCGGAGAAAAAGCAUCGGCUAACUCCGUGCCAGCAGCCGCGGUAAUACGGAGGAUGCGAGCGUUAUCCGGAUUUAUUGGGUUUAAAGGGUGCGUAGGCGGUCCGGACAGUCAGCGGUAAAAGCCCGGGGCUCAACCCCGGCGAGCCGUUGAAACUGUCGGACUAGAGACGGCGAGAAGUACGCGGAAUGCGCGGUGUAGCGGUGAAAUGCAUAGAUAUCGCGCAGAACUCCGAUUGCGAAGGCAGCGUACCGGCGCCGGACUGACGCUGAGGCACGAAAGCGUGGGUAUCGAACAGGAUUAGAUACCCUUGUAGUC